CAAACUAUGAUUGAAGGACCACAGUUGAGAAGAGAAAGAGAGCUUAUGUGGAUCUGCAGGGGAAGAUCUCCCUGAGGAAGUGGCAUUUAAGCUGAUAUGAAGAAUGAUAUAUCAGAAGCAACAUGAGCUUUGAGUACAAAAUUGUCAUGAACAUUGGCUUGACGAAAGCAGUCCACAAGAAAUUCCUGAUACUGCCCACCAGAAGUUAUCCUGCUUUUAGUGAGCACCGUGCUUGACAAUACGAGAACCCUAACUACCUAAGUUCACCAGCCGUUCAUUGAAGAAGAUAAAGAUGAAGGCAAACACCAGCCUGGUACCACCCACCAUGAGGAAGGAAAGGCAAGUUAGGUUUCAGUAUGGCUCAGCCUGGCGACUGAAGCGACACAUGGACACUCGCCUCAAGUAGUCCACAAAGCACAGAGGAGGGCAGACAGCUCUGUUCUGGAAGACCCGAUUCCGGCAUUUCUCAGGCCAUUUA
Molecule: long non-coding RNA, 478 nt
Filed under: Equus caballus (horse)
Lineage: Eukaryota; Metazoa; Chordata; Mammalia; Perissodactyla; Equidae
Description: lncRNA (ENSECAG00000046155.1)
Source: RNAcentral